AUCCCCAACGCCGUGCCCGUCACCACCAUCACCACCGCCACCGUCCAUCACCAUCGUCCAUCACCAUCGUCCAUCACCACCACCACCGUCCAUCACCAUCGUCCAUCACCACCGUCCAUCACCAUCGUCCAUCACCGCCGUCCACCAACAACAACCACCACCUCCAUGGCCACCAUGAUCAUGACCACCAUGACCAUCAUGCCCAACACCACCCACCGCCCCCAUCACCAUCUCUGCAAGCACCAUCACCCCCAACAGCCAUCACCUCCAACCCCAACAACCACCGCAGCCAUCAGCACCAAUAUAACCACUGCCGCCAUCACCCCGUCUCCCCUGGCCUCCUCCUGCCUUCUCCAUCUCCCCCUGCUUCCCCGGGAAGUCUCGGCCUGCCCAGAGCCUUCUCCCUCCCCUCCGGUCGGGGAAGGGCAGCAGCAGCACGCACCCUCCAACCGCAGUUUUCAAUAAAUCAGAACCUCCCGCCUCUGCGGGACGGAGCCGGCGGCACCGGCGCUGGCCCGGUUCAACACCCCGCACACACACACACACACACACACACACACACACGCACACACACACGCACACACACCCCGUGCACAUCCGAGCAGCAAAACGAGGGAAACACUGGGGAAAGCCGCCCGGCUCGGAGCCCCCCCGGCGCUGGACGCUCUCCCGCGCUCCGCCGCGGCGCUGAGGCCUGGCCGCGCUGUCCAGACCUCGGACGGAAAUCAAAUGCUAUUUUAUUCCCGCAGUUUUAACCCCACGGACUCUCUAUUAAUUACCCUUUUAUUUUCCCUGUUAUAGUAUAGAUAGCAUCAAAAUUAAUAACACAUUUUUCCUCAAACAAAAAUGAGUUGUUUGGGKUUUUUUUUCCUUAAAAUUCCUUUUUGCCUUAGAGAUCUUUGCUGCGUGGGGUGGGAUUUUUUUUUUUUUUCCUGGUGUAAAACCAGCCCAGCUCAGGGUCGCGUGGGCUUGGGGGUUAUUUUUUUGCCUUCUCCCCAGAGGCAGCGAGCGGGUCUCAGGCAGCGGCGCAUCCA
Molecule: long non-coding RNA, 1034 nt
Filed under: Dromaius novaehollandiae (emu)
Lineage: Eukaryota; Metazoa; Chordata; Aves; Casuariiformes; Dromaiidae
Description: lncRNA (ENSDNVG00000014113.1)
Source: RNAcentral